This 1136-nucleotide ribosomal RNA is filed under the name uncultured bacterium. Its description in RNAcentral is "bacterial SSU rRNA". It matches the Rfam family "Bacterial small subunit ribosomal RNA", at positions 352 to 1482 of the family's 1533-position model. The record is from RNAcentral.
CAGUGGGGAAUUUUGGACAAUGGGCGCAAGCCUGAUCCAGCCAUGCCGCGUGAGUGAAGAAGGCCUUCGGGUUGUAAAGCUCUUUCGGUGAAGACGAAACGGUUAGUGCUAAUAACACUGACUAAUGACGGUACUCACAGAAGAAGCACCGGCUAACUACGUGCCAGCAGCCGCGGUAAUACGUAGGGUGCAGGCGUUAAUCGGAAUUACUGGGCGUAAAGCGUGCGCAGGCGGUUUGUUAAGACAGGUGUGAAAUCCCCGGGCUUAACCUGGGAAUUGCGCUUGUAACUGGCAAGCUAGAGUGUGGCAGAGGGGGGUGGAAUUCCACGUGUAGCAGUGAAAUGCGUAGAUAUGUGGAGGAACACCGAUGGCGAAGGCAGCCCCCUGGGUUAACACUGACGCUCAUGCACGAAAGCGUGGGGAGCAAACAGGAUUAGAUACCCUGGUAGUCCACGCCCUAAACUAUGUCAACUAGUUGUCGGGGAAGAAAUUCCUUGGUAACGAAGCUAACGCGUGAAGUUGACCGCCUGGGGAGUACGGCCGCAAGGUUAAAACUCAAAGGAAUUGACGGGGACCCGCACAAGCGGUGGAUUAUGUGGAUUAAUUCGAUGCAACGCGAAAAACCUUACCUACCCUUGACAUGCUAGGAAGCCCGCAGAGAUGUGGGUGUGCCCGAAAGGGAACCUAGACACAGGUGCUGCAUGGCUGUCGUCAGCUCGUGUCGUGAGAUGUUGGGUUAAGUCCCGCAACGAGCGCAACCCUUGCCAUUAGUUGCUACAUUCAGUUGGGCACUCUAAUGGGACCGCCGGUGACAAACCGGAGGAAGGUGGGGAUGACGUCAAGUCCUCAUGGCCCUUAUGGGUAGGGCUUCACACGUAAUACAAUGGUCGGUACAGAGGGCUGCCAACCCGCAAGGGGGAGCUAAUCCCAGAAAGCCGAUCGUAGUCCGGAUUGUAGUCUGCAACUCGACUGCAUGAAGCCGGAAUCGCUAGUAAUCGCGGAUCAGCAUGUCGCGGUGAAUACGUUCCCGGGUCUUGUACACACCGCCCGUCACACCAUGGGAGUGGGUUCCACCAGAAGUAGUUAGCCUAACCGCAAGGAGGGCGAUUACCACGGUGAGAUUCAUGACUGGGGUG